UAAAAAUUUAAUUUAAAAAUAUUUAAGUAGUAUUAGUUAAGAUCUUGAAAUUUAAAAAAUUUGGCGGUAUUUUAGUCUAUUCAGAGGAACUUGUUUUUUAAUCGAUAAUACCCGAUGUAUCUUACUUAAUUUUGUUUUUUAUAGUUUAUGUAUUGUCGUUUAGAUUAUUUUAUAAAAAUAAUAAUUUUCUUAAUUUUUUAUUUAAAAUAUAUCAGAUCAAAAUAUAGCUUAUAAUUAAGUUUAUAAUGAGUUACAAUUAAUUUAUUAUUGGAUAUAAAUUUUUAAUUAUUUAUUGAAAUUGGAUUUGAUAGUAAAUUUAUAUAGAUUAAUAUAUUGAUUAUAGCUCUAAAAUAUG
RNAcentral lists this ribosomal RNA (355 nucleotides) under Elmohardyia sp. Jeff Skevington 16990. Its description in RNAcentral is "partial 12S ribosomal RNA". The record is from RNAcentral. Lineage: Eukaryota; Metazoa; Arthropoda; Insecta; Diptera; Pipunculidae.